AGCCGCCGCCUCCUGAUGAAGAAUUUCUCUUUAGUGUAGCCUCUCUACUUGAGAAUGCUCGAUUUUUAGGUGGAGGAAAGCCUAGAUUCAAAGAAUUAUAUGCUUCUUAUGCGCUUGAGUAUGAUAUGUGCUUUGAAGAGUAUGUAGACAUCCCAGAAGAUCUCUCCAGGACGGUAGAUUUCUCCGGUAAGACCCCAAAUUGUUUCUAGAUUUUUCUAUUUUUGAAAAUUUAUUAUAAAUGGUAUUUUAUUUAACCUCUCUUUAUUGCAUGUAUGUAUGGCUCAGAGCGUAUCCCAACCGUCAGAGGGCCUAGGACAGCCGUCUUCUGGGACGCCGUGGAUUGCCCUUUCCCUCCUUCUUCCACCCCUGAUGAGAUCUACCACUCUAUCUCAUCAGCUCUUGUUGAAAGGUAUCUUAGUGAUAAUAUUACUAUCUGGGCCUAUCUUGAUGAUGAUGACAAGAAAGGGUCUGCCUUACUGGGUGGUGACAAGACGUGGGCUUCCAGAAUCUACUUUCUUCCCGGAGGUGUGAUCAUUUCCCCCUCUCUUUUUCUUCUCUCACUUGCAUUUGUUAAUAUUUAUUUAUUUGAUUUUUUUUUUUCCUUUUUCCAGGGGAUAAAGCCUCGAGACGUAUCAGAAUGUUAAAUGACAUGUUUUUAUUGGCAAGGGACUCUCCUCAGUGCAGUAAUUAUGAAGCUAGUUUGGUCCUGUUCGCAAAUCAGUUCAUAGGUGCCGGCUACUACAUCGAUAUGCUUCAAAGAUUGGAUGCCAUUCGUUACCAUAUUCUCUUAGUCACUCCGACUCUGGACAUCAACAAACCCGAAACCCCUCAAUGGCCCGGAUUGCUUUUAGAUAGAGGCGCAGCCAGUUUUGCUCUUGAAACUAGCAAAAUCUCUGAAGAACCUCCUAGCCCCAAAAAGCAUGAAGCCCUUGCCGCCGCUGAAGAAGAAGAAACACCUAAGAAGCUGGACACGCAUGGCAAACUUCUCUUGGAAACUGAGGACAUGAAGAAACAACAAAGCCAUGAAUGUCCAGGACGGCAAAUAGAUGGAGGAUCAGGCUGGGGAAGCUCUGAAGAACCUUAUCUCAAAAAGCAUAAAGCCGGUGUGGCCGAAUAAACAUCUGAUGCGGCCGACGAAACACCGUAGGGGUUGGGACUAGCUAGCUUCUGUUGUCGUAGCCCCGUGGAUGUUUAUUUAAGCUUUUAUUUAUCAGUAUUUAAAUUUUUAUUUAUCAAAAACUCUGCUAUAUUUAAGUUUGUACUUGUAUUUUGAACUUCAAACUCUGUUGUAGUAAUUUUAUGACUUCUCUUUUUAUUCAUGCAAUCUUUGGUUUUUCUUAUUGUUGUCUUCCUUCUGUUUAACCGCCAACAAACUCGGGCAUUGCUGUUUUUCUUCAAAAUCAUGUGCUACACCAUAAUCCCAGCAUCUUGUAAUCGGGGAAAGGAUUAUUCCCUUCUAAACCAUUUCCAACCUGAAUCCAAACAAGUGAUAUGCACUUUUUUUUUGUCACAAAUUUCAUUAAUUUAAAUCUAAAAGGUCUCAACGAUUACAAACCGGAGUAGUUUCGACGGUACAAUGAACAAAAGAAGAAGCAGUAAAGCAAUAACACAUGAGAUAGAAGUGUUUAAAGGAGAGGCUUGCUCAAAGUAGAGAGAUCGGCAAAAAAAUCUUCACUUGAAUCCUUGAAACCACAGCCCGGAAGAGCUUCAAAUAGUCUGAGACGACGUUGAAAUACCCUAGUGAAAGGGAUUUGGAGGAGUUCAAUACUGGCUUGAACACCAAAAAAGAUUCACCUCUCGUGGAGAGGGAUGCAGGAGAGUCUAUCUCAACCGCAAUAGUAUCAAAAGGCCUUAAUUGCCUGGAUUUAUCAUUGAAACGCACACGAACAGCUCUAAAAACUGCAAGACUUACCCAAGAGACUAGGUGAAUCUCUAACUCUAGCUUCACUUUCGAAGAGCUUAGGACAAUGGAGUUUGGUGACGAAGUAUACGGUUUAAUCGGGUCAGAAGCUCGGACCUUGACAUUACCGUGUCUAGGCCAACUUAUUGUAACCGGAAGAAACUUGAGCAAACUGUCAUCGUACUCGUUUCCGUUGAGCGUGAGUGAGUAAGCAUCGGAUAAGAGGCAGUGAGAUUUGGAAUAGUCGGGUUGAAGCCUUAACUGCUUGGAUAUUGAAAUAAGGUUUCGAUGAGAUGCAGUAAGAGGAGACUCAAAGGAUAUGCGAUCCUUCACAAAAGAGCUCCCGAUUAGGGUUUCACCAGAGUCGGAGUGGAAGCUAAGGCCGCCGUGAGAGGAAGAUGAACCAUCGACUGAUGGGGCAUUGCGUUCACCGGAGCAUACCAGAACCAUAGCGGUGCUUGACGAAGGAGAUACAUGUACGAUGGAGAGGAAAGCUCCUCCUCCGGUGAGACAGAUCUGAAUUGUCUCUGUUCUUGACCCACGGUAGUAGAUCUCGUGGAAGAAACAUGAUGCCCUAAAUCCGGAGGUGGAGAUGGAGGGAAGUGAAAUAGGUGGGGAGGAGUGAGGCGGCGUCUGGUGAAGAUCUCGAAGAGAGGAUGAAGACGGUGGCUUUGAUUGGGAUGUAACCAUUGGGUCCGGUGGGUCAGGUGGAUCUGGAGGAUCUCGUGGGUGAAGAGGAUUUAACAGCACCGAAGCAAACAUCCACCGACGGCAAGCGAGAGAGAAGACCAGAUCCUGGUUCAUCGGCGCGGAGGGAGGUAGCGGGAGCAGAGCCAUCGGAAAAACUCAAACGAACUCGACGUCGGUGAAAGGAGCACAAUCGUUGGCCAGAGACAAGGACGAGGAGGAGCUUCAACUAGGAAGAGAACGCACCAACCGUGCCGGAGAAACAACGGUAGAACGAGCUCAUUUUUGUCGUUGCGGCUUCCUUGGUUUCCGUGUCUGAGAGAGAAGCUUCUCACAUCACAUGAUUCUCUAUAACAAGUGAUAUGCACUAAUACGACUGAAAUGUUAUAAAUUAAUUACUUUAACCAAACAACAUCGUUUAAGUUGAACUUAUGUUAGAGUCAUUGUAGAUUUAAUUCCAUGAAGUUCAGAUAGUUUAUUUGAAUUAUAAUCAUAUUAGAGUCGUAUUUAGCACAAACAUUUAGCAGGAUGGAAGUUGUUCGGUCAAAUAAAUAUUUUCACUCUUGUAAGUUUAUAGUUGUUCUGAGAAGGUGCUAAUGUUGAAAUGGCUUGUCACAAAGCAUAAACAAACAUCCAUUCCUCAGAGACUUCCUCUUCCCUCCAACCUUAAAUCAUAAUCAGAUUCUACUUCUCUUACCAUGUGUUUAAUAGAUAAGCUUCCACAUUCUCAAAUCUUUCUUUUUCUGGGCAACAAUUCUAUGUUUGAUAUUUCUGAUUGGAAGAGAUAAAAUUUAUGGAUUUCCUUAGGAGUAGAAUAUACCUCGUUUGCUCCUUUCAAGUCCUUUUGAUGCAUCUGAAAUCUUGAAAAGACAUUUGCAAGCAUCUUUGUUGUCUUCGCAAUCUUUCUUUGCUCUCAGUAAUAUUAGGAAAGGAUCAACCAGCUCUUCUUUUUUCAUGUCCUUUUUUAUGUACCUGGAAAUCUUGAAAAGACAUUUUUCGAUCAUGUUGUAUGUUGGUGCUCUUGGCUAAGUUGUUUCAGAACAUCAAAGGAGGAGGAGAUCUUGGAUUGGAAAAGGCAAGAAAGAAGUUCAUCAAGCACCCUAAGCCUCAAGAUUCGUCAACAGGAGGGGAGAUUGUGAAGUUUGAAGCUGAUGACUGGGAGAUAUUGUUAAUGUCUGGGGAAGAGAGUGAGAGCAAAAAGAACUUGAUGGCACAAAACACUGAGUUUUAGUCUAACAUUUUUAAUAUCAAAUCUUUGAAGCUUUGUGAAUCCCCUAUACACUAUUUGAUAAGUGGUUUGACAAGUGUCUUUUUUACAUUCAUUAUCACUAAAAAAUAAUGACAUGGAUUUAAAAAAAAAUGGCAUGACAUCAAUUUAAUUAUAUGUAAAAUUUCCUUAUAAAACAUUAUAAUUUUUGGAAAGACUUUUUAAAUAUGGUAUGCUAAUAAAUUUUACAUAAAAUAAAUUUUAUGUAUAAAUAUUAUUUUAGUAAGAAUUUUAAUAUAUUAGUAACUAAUAUAUCAUAUAUCACCAUUACAAUAAUAUAUAUAUAUAUAUAACAUUAAUAAACAAAUAAACUAAAUAUAAGUACAUUGUAAAAAAAAUCACGUUAACUUAUAUAUCCAUUUUUUAUAAAUAAAUAAAUAUAUAUAUAUACAUAUAUUAAAAUUAAUUGUAAAUGUGCUUUAAAAUACAAAACUAAAGCAAUAUUAAUCAAAUAAAAAUUUAUUGAUAAUUAAUGUUUAAAUUUUUUUUUAGCAUUUAUUGGUUUAUUUAGGGUUUCCCCAAAAAAAACGAAAAGAAUGCACACAGAUCCGUUCCGUUGAAAAUAUGUCAGCACCCUUGAUAUUUUCCUUUUUUAAAAAACAAAAAAUUGAGAUCCAAGAGAGAUAUAAAAACAUGCCCUCAUAGAUAUCUCAGCAAGCUGCAGCCUAGCUCUCUCAUCCGUCCGUGGAGAAAAGCAUUCAAAGCAAGAUCUAACCCCUAGCUAGAAGGAAGGUCUCUCCAAUUCUCAUCGUCAUCUCCGCAGAACCAUGGGCGAAGACGAUACCAUCGGUUUUGAGUCCUGUAAGAUCUCUCUCCAUCUAAAAUUGUUUUGUUAGAUUUCAUCUGAUUCGAUUAUAGGGGAAGUAAUGGUUUAUUUUUUCUAAUUUUUUCGUAAAUUCGUUUGUGUGUAGUGAAGCAGACGCUCGUGUACUGGAACAUGGAUGACUACCCAAUCCCUGUAGAUACUACAGAUGAGCUUGAUCCUGUUUUCGGUGAUAUCUUAAAAGCUCUUGAUGUAAUGGGCUUUCGUGAUGGGCAUAUAGACGUGUUUCUGUAUGAUGAGCAAAUCAACAGGGAGGGGGCUCUAGUCGACUGGACUUUACCCGAAAGUAAAUUCCUCACUCUCCUUUGCUCGUCAUCGUUUCUAUUUUAAAUUAUAUUUAUAAUGUAAUCGGACUUGUUUCUCUGUUGUUGUUUGUAGGCGAAACUUACGGCGCUUGUUUUUACAAAGUGCCGGAUAUCACUUGGUAUAUGAUUCGUGACUCAUCAUUUUACAGAGCAGGACCAGUAAAUUAUUUUGUAAUUGCAAAACCAAAAAGGGAGUUACAUAGGGUUCUGCACUGUUUGCAAUCAAGGCGUCACAAUGUUCUUCUAGUAAAGCCGCCGCCCCCUGAUGAAGAAUUUCUCUUUAGUGUAGCCUCUCUACUUGAGAAUGCUCGAUUUUUAGGUGGAGGAAAGCCUAGAUUCAAAGAAUUAUAUGUUUCUUAUGCGUCUGAGUAUGAUAUGUGCUUUGAAGAGUAUGUAGACAUCCCAGAAGAUCUCUCCAAGACGGUAGAUUUCUCCGGUAAGACCCCAAAUUGUUUCUAGAUUUUUCUAUUUUUUGAAAAUUUAUUAUAAAAUGGUAUUUUAUUUAACCUCUCUUUAUUGCAUGUAUGUAUGGCUCAGAGCGUAUCCCAACCGUCAGAGGGCCUAGGACAGCCGUCUUCUGGGACGCCGUCGAUUGCCCUUUCCCUCCUUCUUCCUCUCCUGAUGAGAUCUACCACUCUAUCUCAUCAGCUCUUGUUGAAAGGUAUCUUAGUGAUAAUAUUACUAUCUGGGCCUAUCUUGAUGAUGAUGAUGAUGACAAGAAAGGGUCUGCCUUACUGGGUGGUGACAAGACGUGGACUUCCAGAAUCUACUUUCUUCCCGGAGGUGUGAUCAUUUCCCCCUCUCUUUUUUUUUUCCCGUCUUUAUAUGUUACUCUCACUUGCAUUUUAUUUGAUUUUUUUUUUUUUCCUUUUUCCAGGGGAUAAAGCCUCGAGACGUAUCAGAAUGUUAAAUGACAUGUUUUUAUUGGCAAGGGACUCUCCUCAGUGCAGUAGUUAUGACGCUAGUUUGGUCCUGUUCGCAGAUCAGUUCAUAGGUGCCGCCUACUACAUCAAUAUGCUUCAAAGAUUGGAUGACAUUCGUUACCAUAUUCUCUUAGUCACUCCGACUCUGGACAUCAACAAACCCGAAACCCCUCAAUGGCCUGGAUUGCUUAUAGAUAGAGGCGCAGCCACUUUUGCUCUUGAAACUUGCAAAAUCUCUGAAGAACCUCCUAGCCCCAAAAAGCAUGAAGCCCUUGCCGCCGCUGAAGAAGAAGAAACACGUAAGACGCUUCAAAUGAUAUGAGUGCCAUGAGUGACUUCUUUGAUCCACUUCGUUUUUACAAGUGUGUUUUUGCUUAACUUUUAGUUAAUUGGCAUAUAUUCAAUUGUGUAAGUUUUUGUGUAGAAUCUCAGCUUGAUAAUGCACAACUUUUAGGUGGAGGCAUGAGGAGGAUUACGAAUGCAUGUUUGGACAGGGAUUUCAAAUCUUUUUAGGGUUUCCCGAGAAAAAAAAGGAAAAGCAUGCUACUUCGGUUGAAAAUAUGUCAACACCCUUGAUAUUUUCCUUUCUAAAAACAUGCCCUCUCUCAUCCGUAAUGAAUUAAGGAUAUUUUCUUAAAUAGAAAAGGAAAUCCAAGUUUUGAAAUUUUUAUAAAUAUGGAUGUAAUGGAUUGUAAAUUGUUCGUUCACAUAAUCCAUAUACAAAUUCUAAACAGAUAUUUGUUUCAAUAGCUUUUUGCUUUAUUAAGUUUCUUUUGAUUUUUUUUCAAAGUUAAUAUAACUUUGUUGUUCAUUCACAAAAAAAACCUAACUCCUAACUUAGCUAGAACACCAUGGGCGAAGACGAGGCCAUCGAUUUUGAGUCCUGUAAGAUCUCUUUCCAUCUCUUACCCCCUAAAUUGUUUGUUAGAUUUCAUCUGAUCGAUUAUAGCGAAAUGAUGUUCUUUUUUUUUUAAUUUUCCGUAGUGAAGCAGACACUGGUGUUCUGGAACAUAGAUGACUACCCAAUCCCUGUAGAUGCUACCAAUAAUCUUGGUCCUAUUUUUGGUGAUAUCUCAAAAGCUCUUCAUCUAAUGGGCUUUCGUGAUGGGCAUAUGACUGUGUGGCUGUAUUCUGAGCAACUGAACUACGACAGAAAAGAGGUGGGCGAGGCAGAAGUAAUCUACCACUACUUACCCCAAAGUGAGUUUCCUCACAACAACACUCUCUUUUGCUCGUCAUUUCUUUUUUUAAUUACAUAUGUAAUGAUCUGAGUUCUUUUCUCUGUUUGAUAUAUAUAGGUAUGUCUUAUUCAGCUGCACUUUACAAAGUGCCGGCCAUGACUUUGUAUAUGAUUCAGUACGCAUCAAAUAUUGGACCAGGACCUGUAAAUCUUUUGGUAAUCGCAAAACCAAAAAGGGAGUUACAUAGGGUUCUGCAGUGUUUGAAAUCGAGGCGUCACAAUGUUCUUAUAGUCGAGCCACCGCCGCCUGAUGAAAAAUUUCUCUUUAGUGUAGACUCUCUACUUGAGAAUGCACGAUUUUUAGGUGGAGGAAAGCCUAGAUUCAAAGCUUUAUUAAGUCAUUAUGCGCUUGAGUAUGAUACCUCCCAAGACUAUUAUGUAAAGAUCAAAGAAGAUGUCUCCAAGACGGUAGAUUUCUCUGGUAAGUCAUUGUUUGUUUUAGAUUUCAUCCAUUCAUAAUAAUAUUAUUACAAAUGGUAUUUAUUUAACCUCUCUCUCUCUCUAUCUAUUGCAUGGAUGGCUCAGAGCGUAUCCCAACCGUCAAAGGGGUUAGGACAGCCGUCUUCUGGGAUGCCGUGGAUUGCCCAUUCCCUCUUUCUUCCACCCCUGAUGAGAUCUACCACUCUAUCGCAUCAGCUCUUGUGGCAAAGGGUUUUAGUGCUAGGAUUAAAAUCUGGGCCUAUCUUGAUGACGACAAGAAAGGGUCUUGGAGGGAUGUGUUACUGGGUGACAAGACGUGGGCUUCCAGAAUCUACUUCCUUCCCGGAGGUGAAAUUUCCCCUCUUUUUCUUUAUAUAUCUACUUUGUAAUCUUUACCUCUCACUUCCGUUUGAUAAUAGUAUUUAUUUAUUUAUUUUUCCUUUUCUAGGGGAUAAAGCCUCGAGACGUAUCAGAAUGCUAAAUGACAUGUAUUUAUGGGAAAGGGACUCUUCUAGGUCGACCAGGUCUUAUGAAGCAAGUUUGGUCCUGUUCGCAGAUCAGUUCAAAGAUGACGCCUACUACGUCCACAUGCUUCAAAAAUUGUUGAAUGACAGACGUUGCGAUCUUGUCUUAGUCAAUCCGACUCUGGACAUCAACAAACCAGAAACCCCCGAAUGGCCGGGAUUGCUAUUAGAUAAAGGAGCAUCCUGGUUUGCUGACGAAACAAGCGAAAUCUCUGAAGAACCUAGCCCCCAAAAGCAUGAAGCCGAAGAAGAAAUACCUGAGAAGCUUCCAGUUAUGAGUGACAUGGAUUAUUGUCGUUUUGGGGAUUAAACAAGCGAAAGCUCUGAAGAUGAGGACAUGAACAAACCAGAAAGCCGUGAAUGGCCACCAGGAUUGCUAAUAGAGGGAGGAUCAGGCGUGGAAAGCUCUGAGGAACCUUGUCCCGAAAAGCAUAAAGCCGAUGCCGCCGAAGAAGAAGAAACACCUGAGAAGCUUCCCGUGUAUCGCUGGGAUCCUAUUACUCUGAUGUACAAACUAAAAAGCCUUGGAUGAACAGGCUGUGAAAGCUCUGAAGAACCUUGUCCCAAAAAGCGUGAAGCCGAUGCGGCGGCCGAAGUAGAAACACCAGAAGCUUCAAAUUAUAUGACAAUGAGUGACUUCUUUGAUCCACUUUAUUUUUCCAAGCGUCUUUUUUUACUUCACUUUUAGUUAAUUGGCAUAUAUUCAAUUGUGUAAGGUUAGCUAUUUUACUCAACUGCCUAUGUGCUGUUGGCUAUAAUAUUGUUGAAUGGAAUAUAGCUCUGUUUCUAAAUCUAUCGGACUAAGAAUAGGAUUUGAUUGUUUUUUCUUAUGAUUCAUGAAAUUAGGGUAAAUAAGAUGUGAUUCUUAGUUGUUUUCUGGUUUCAACAACUCAUUAUUCUUUGCUAAAUCCAUCUUCAGAAACUAGGAUGUACGAGCUUUCUAGUGUGUGAGGAAUUCUUUAACGUUAGGUUUCUGUACUAAUUGUAUUUCGUCAUAAUCCUCUUGUGUUUCAUCAGGGAUUCCCUUCUUGGGAAAAGGAAGCUAAAACUUUUUCAGCAUAUGAGUAACAAACUUGAUUUAAAAUUGUUGUCAACUCAGCCUUGUUUAUUUUUUGCCUUGGCUGACUUGACCUAGUUUUACCCUUUUGUAGUUUACAAAUUCAUCUCAUAAUAUAUGAAAUUCACAUUUUGGUAAAAAUAAUAAUAAUAAUAAUAAUAAUCAACAUUAUAAUGAGCCAGUUUCAAGGCUCCUCAGCGCGCUACGUCAACAUUAUAAUGAGCCAGUUUCAAGGCUCCUCAGCGCGCCACGUCAGCAUUUUGUGGGUCCCACCUUUAAAAAAAGUGAAAAAAUGUCAAGCCCAUAACUCGAACCCGGGUUAUUAACAUAUAAACACCAACAUUUAUACCACUAAACUAAAGGAUACUUUGUAUGUUGAUGGUUGAAACUAAUAUAUAUUUAUGAAGGUCAGUUUAAUAAUGUCCCACAAAUAAAUAAAAUGAUUUACAAAUCAAAUCACGUUCUCUAUUAUUUGUUGAUUGAUUUGUGAGCUUAUUUUUUAAACUCGCUAGCCCAUCUAUUACAUCAGCUUAUACAUUUGAUUAAAGCGUCUAUCUUAAUAAACCAUAAAACUGGUCCUAAAAAGCCUGCAAGUCGUCAGCUCUUCGUCUUCGACUGAGACCUAUGGUUUUCCCAAUCAUGCGCCUCCCCUCCAAUACACAGACGCUACUGUCUAAACUUCUCCAAUCAAAUCCAUGGAACUCUUAGUCUCUUUCUAUCUCUUCAUCUCCCCCUCUUUACGCACACCAUCAAAAACGCUAGCGUCUCAUAACUGAUACGAACGGCUUCGCUAUAUAUAGGUCAUGUUAGAUCCAGGAGUCCAACCUCUCAUAUCUACGAACACUUUUUGUUUCAAUUGUUGAGCAUGUCUGUCUCUGAUGCUAUUGCCGUCCUCCCCACCACCUUCAACGCUCUCCGCAUUUGUCGGUCUUCUCAAGUUUGUUGUUGGCCGUCUCCUCAGCUACUGGGAUCCCCGUAACAUCAAUAAAAAUUGUGAAUUUAAAAUUGUUGUCAACUCAGCCUUGUUUAUUUUUUGCCUUGGCUGACUUGACCUAGUCUUACCCUUUUGUAGUUUACAAACUCUUCUCAUAAUAUAUGAAAUUCACAUUUUGGUAAAAAAAAUAAUAAAUAAUAAUAAUAAUAAUAGUAAUAAUAAUGUUCUUGUGUCCUGAACGAUAUUAGGUGGAAAGGGUUUAAAAGUCGGUACAAACCAGUGGAUUGGAUUCGGAUCGGAGCUUGUGUCCUCGACGAUAUUAGGUGGAAAGGAUUCAAAAGGGUUUAAAACAAGGUAAUAAUCUUGUUCAUUCAGUUUGCCAUUUUCUCUUGAGCAAGUGACAACUUUUGAUUUCUGUAUUCUAAUGUACACAGGAAAGGAUAUUGGAAGAGCAUAGGAAAAUGUUGCACAACAGCACAAGGUAUAGUGAAACGGGACCAGAAAAGGAGAAAGAGAAUCUCGAAGCUGCUGGAAUAGAAUCUAAACAAUUUACAUAACUUUACAUGUAUUUGACCACAUUGGAAAAAAAUAUAUUUAAUUGUAGAAAAUAGCUUUUGGUAUAAUGUUAAACGAAGGAUUUUUGAAUUAUAAUUAGUUUAAUUUUUUUUGUUAUUUUAUAUUGAGGUUAUAAUAGGUAUUAUUUAAUCAUAUUAAAAAACAAGAACAAUACUUAAGUCUAAAACUGAAACAGAUGGAGUAAUUAUUAACGUGAUUAAUUUGUAUUAAAUUCUUUUAUAAAUAAAUUAAAUAAUUGUAUUUUUUUGAAAACACAGGUUAAUUUCCAAAUUUAAUAUUAUUAUGCCCUUUCAGUUUCAACUAAUGUUCGUAUUUUUAUAUAAAUAUAUUCUUGUCUUCUUGUUAUAUAGUCGUAUUCAUGUUUGGAAUGAAGACAUUAUUAAGAUUAGCUAAUACAAAAUGCAUAUUAAAAACGAGGAAAGUGAUUUGAAUCCUUAAAAUUGGAAUCAAAGAGUAUGUGUCUUUUUCUCCCCGUGUUUCGUUUCUGACAUUGCCACAUUUGUUGGAAUCUCUGGCAACUUAAUUAUUUUUAUUUUAUUCUGAUUCCACAUGACCUGUAAUCAAAUUAAUUCAGUUGUUUUGCUAGAUCGGGAAAUUAAUAUUUUUGAUCAUGAUAACCAACCGUUCUCCUGCAGUGAACUCCAGCAUUUUUUGGGGGUCAGUUACCGUUUCUGGACUCCGUAUAUUAAUAAGCUAACAGAGUUUGACUACAUUUGAUUUUGUGAACCAAAAUAUUAUUGCGGUUUCUUACGCUUUUUAUUUUCGCUCGUAAAUAUUAGUUUUAAAACAUCUUAUACAUCUUAAAAAAACAUCUUAUUCAUCUUAAACUUUUUUCUCAUUCAUCUUAAACUAAUUAUCUAAUAAAAUGUAGUUCACUAAAAUAUUAAAUAUUUAUGGCUUCAUAUCAAAAAAAUUCAAGUUGUCUUGGAAAUUAGAGAACAUAAAAUAUGCGGACUCAGAUGUGAAAUACGAAUCAUUACUCUGGAUAUGACUUAUUAUAUGCUUGUUUUCGCAGCAAAUUCUGGACUAGGACGUGUAAAUGUAGCGGUAAUCACAAAACCAAAAAAAGGAGUUACAUAAGGUUCUGCAGUAGUGUUUGAAAUCGAGGAAUCACAAAGUUAUCGUAAUAGAGCCGCCUUAUGAAGAAUGAAUCUUAUGUGUACAAUCUUUGCUUGAUAAUGCACAACCUUUAGGUGGAGAAAGGCCUAGAAGCAAUGAUAUAGAUUCUGAUUAUGAGGAGGAUUACGAAUAUGCAUGUUUGGACAGGGGAUUUCAAAACAUUUUUAGGGUUUCCAAAAAAAAGGAAAAUAAUGCACAGAUCCGUUGGUUGAAUAUGUGUGCAACACCCUUGAUAUUUUCCUUUUUAUUUGAGAUCCAAAGGGCUAAAAACAUGCCCUCUCUCAUCAGUAAUGAAUUAAGGACAUUUUCUUAAAUAAAAAAGGAAAUCAGAGUUUUGAAACUAUUAUAAAUAUGGGUGCAAUGGAUUGUAAAUUACUCAUUCACAUAAUCCAUAUACAAAUUCUAAACAGAUAUUUGUUUAUUUUAUUCAGAGUUUUGAAACAGCGUUUUGCAUUCUGAAGUUUUUUUUUUAAUUUUUUCAAAGUUAAUUCGACUUUGUUGUUCAUUCACAACAAACCCUAACUUAGCGAGAAAAAGUCUUCAAUUCUCAUACCCAUCUCUCCGUAGAACCGAACCAUGGGCGAAGACGAGACCAUCGAUUUUGAGUCGUGUAAGAUCUCUCUCCAUCUCUUACCCCUAAAUUAUUUUGUUGGAUUUCAAUUGAUCGAUUAUAGCAAAAUAAUGGUUUUUAUUUUAAUUUUCCGUAGUGAAGCAUACACUGGUGUUCUGGAACAUGGAUGAUUACCCAAUCCCUGUUGAUACUACGGAUGAUCUUGGUCCUGUUUUUGGUGAUAUCUCAAAAGCUCUUGAUCUAAUGGGUUUUCGUCUCGGUUUUAUGGACGUGAGAUUGUACUCUGAGCAACACAACUACGACAAAAAAUUGGCCGAUAUAAUCCGCCCAUCCUUACCCAAAUGUAAGCUCCUCACAACAACACUCUUGUCUUUUGCUUGUCUUUUCUAUUUUAAUCAUUAUUAUGUAAUCGGAGUUGUUUCUCUCUUGUUUAUUAGGUGGUGGUACUUAUUCGGGUUGUGUUUACAAAGUGCCGGAUAUCACUUUGCAUAUGAUUCGUCACGCAUUAUACAUGGGACCAGGACCAGUGAAUUUUUUUGUAAUCGCAAAACCACAAAGGGAGUUAUUCAGGGUUCUGCAGUGUUUGAAAUUGAGGCGUCACAAUGUUCUUCUAGUAAAGCCACCGCCGCCUGAUGAAGAAUGUCUCUUUAGUGUUGACUCUCUGCUUAAUACUGCACGACUUUUAGGUGGAGGAAAGCCUAGAUACAACCCUUUACAACGUUAUACGGAUGAGUUUGAUAGCUCUCUAGAAAAGUAUAUAGAGAUCAAAGAAGAUCUCUCCAAGACGGUAGAUUUCUCCGGUAAGACCCCAAAUUGUUUUUAGAUUUUUCUAUCUUUGAAAAUUUAUUAUAAAAUGGUAUUUUAUUUAACCUCUCUUUAUUGCAUGUAUGUAUGGCUCAGAGCGUAUCCCAACCGUGAAAGGGCCUAGGACAGCCGUCUUCUGGGACGCCGUGGAUUGCCCUUUCCCUCCUUCUUCCACCC
Molecule: long non-coding RNA, 13327 nt
Filed under: Brassica napus (rape)
Lineage: Eukaryota; Viridiplantae; Streptophyta; Magnoliopsida; Brassicales; Brassicaceae
Description: long non-coding RNA (BNAP_LNC010502)
Source: RNAcentral